Molecule: ribosomal RNA, 474 nt
Filed under: uncultured bacterium
Lineage: Bacteria
Description: bacterial SSU rRNA
Rfam family: Bacterial small subunit ribosomal RNA
Source: RNAcentral
GAUGAACGCUAGCGGCAGGCUUAAUACAUGCAAGUUGAGGGGCAGCAUGAUAUACGCGAGUAUAUUGAUGGCGACCGGCGGACGGGUGAGUAAUAGGUAGGAGACCUACCUCAUACAGGGGGAUAGCAUAGAGAAAUCUGUGGUAAUACCCCAUGAGGUUAUAUGAAUAGAGGCAUAUAAUCAAAGCAUAAGCGAUUAUGCGGUAUGAGAGGGGCCUACUGACCAUUAGCUAGUUGGUGAGGUAAGGGCUCACCAAGGCGAAGAUGGUUAGGGGUUUUGAGAGAGAGAUCCCCCAAUUGGAACUGAGAUACGGUCCAGACUCCUACGGGAGGCAGCAGUAGGGAAUAUUGGGCAAUGGGCGGAAGCCUGACCCAGCCAUGCCGCGUGAAGGAAGACGGCCUUAUGGGUUGUAAACUUCUUUACUAUUGCGACUAACUAGAUUUACGAGAUAAUUCUAAUAGAAUGUAGCAUAGC